This 400-nucleotide ribosomal RNA is filed under the name uncultured bacterium. RNAcentral describes it as "bacterial SSU rRNA". It matches the Rfam family "Bacterial small subunit ribosomal RNA", at positions 355 to 747 of the family's 1533-position model. The record is from RNAcentral.
UGGGGAAUUUUGCGCAAUGGGCGAAAGCCUGACGCAGCAACGCCGCGUGGGUGAUGAAGGUCUUCGGAUCGUAAAACCCUGUCGUCAGGGACGAAGGUCGGGGAGUUAACAGCUUCUUGACUUGACGGUACCUGGAGAGGAAGCCCCGGCUAACUCUGUGCCAGCAGCCGCGGUAAUACAGAGGGGGCAAGCGUUAUUCGGAAUUAUUGGGCGUAAAGGGCGCGUAGGCGGUUUGUUAAGUGAGAUGUGCAAUCCCCGGGCUUAACCUGGGAACUGCAUCUCAGACUGGCAGGCUAGAGUGCUGGAGAGGGUGGUGGAAUUCCACGUGUAGCGGUGAAAUGCGUAGAGAUGUGGAGGAACACCAGUGGCGAAGGCGGCCACCUGGACAGUAACUGACGCU